Molecule: unclassified non-coding RNA, 88 nt
Filed under: Pseudomonas moraviensis
Lineage: Bacteria; Pseudomonadati; Pseudomonadota; Gammaproteobacteria; Pseudomonadales; Pseudomonadaceae
Source: RNAcentral
UGUAGGAGUGAGCCUGCUCGCGAUCGCGUCAGCACAUCGGACAUUGAAGUGACUGGUAUACCGCAUCGCGAGCAGGCUCACUCCUACA